This 1463-nucleotide long non-coding RNA is filed under the name Phasianus colchicus (ring-necked pheasant). RNAcentral's name for it is "lncRNA (ENSPCLG00000008033.1)". The record is from RNAcentral. Lineage: Eukaryota; Metazoa; Chordata; Aves; Galliformes; Phasianidae.
AAUGGGAUGAAAAAAAAAAAAAAAAAAAAAAAGAAAAGAAAAAGAAAGUGGGAAGUAAGAGCGGCGUUCUUUGCUCCUAUUGGCUGGCAGGCAGUGGGAUACCUAUAUAAGGCGCACGACAGGCAAGUGAGUGACAGUGUUUUCUUCAGAGUGUGGCAAGUUGAUGAAUGUUUGAAGUGGGAAACUGGAAAAAAGCUGUCUGGUCUAAGGAUCAGCUGCUGAAGAAAGAAGAAUCAAGAGGUGGAGCUCCGAGGCAAGAGUGAGCAAGAAGAGGAAGGAAGGAAACUACUGCAGAUGGGCAAAGAGAGAGGCUCCCUGGACAAAAGCAUGUCACGUCACAUGAGAGCAUUGCCGGCAUCUUGGGUGUCCAGGUCAGCUUUGUGCUGGGCGACCUUCCUGCAAUCAGGGCUCAGGUCUUUUGCUGUAGUUGGCCUUUUGCCUUGUUGCUCCUUUGGCUGCCUGGGAAGUGUGGCCGUCUGUAUGGAGGGUGAGAGCCACCUUUCCGCACCCCAGUGGGAAAUGGAGCUCGCUGGACCCCGAGGGCACCCUGUAAGCAGGGUAGUGCCCUUUCCCUGCCACUCUUCCUCCAGCCACUCGGUGUGGUUACCUGCUGGUGACCUGCCAAAGUGACAGCCCUGUGGUUGGGGUGCGUGUUGCACCAUUUGGCCCUUGGCCCCCUGAGAAAGACCCCCUGGCAUGUUGAAGUCUGUGGCCUCCAUGCAGCCUGGGGGUGGGUCAGAGGCUCUUGUCUGCUGCUUGUGGAUCCGGGUUUUUGCCUGGUCAUUGGCUGCGCUGUGUUCUCCUUCCCUCCUAGAAAGCUGUACCUGUGUGUAAGAGUUCCCAUUCCUUUCCUUGUUUGCGUGGGUGACAGCAAUUGAGCUUUCCUUUUAGGCCUCCCUGAAAACAGAUGCUGCUUAGCUUUGACUUUCCAGGGGGGAAUGGAGGACUUGAUGCAUCAAGUCAGUGGGGUGUUCCUGCUCAAUCCUGUGAGUGGAGUGAGUGUCCUCUUGUCUCGCCCCUCUCUGGAUGCUGCAGCACCAGUUCUCACAUAUUGGAACACAGAGAUGUUCACCAGUUGAAGAUUGUUUGUUGCUUGACAGUGAAAUUCUACCUUCUUGUGCGCUUUCCUACUACUUGGAAAAGGGAAAGAAAAAAAGAGAAGAAAGAAAAGAAAAAAGUAGAAAAAAGAAGAAAAAAGCCUCAAACACAGAAGGAGGGACUUAAAUCUGACUGGAAUAUGUCCUGAUGCUGAACGUCACAUAACUUUGAAGGAUGAGCCAUGCGUGAUGUAUACUUCAAUUCAUGCAUUAUGAAAAUGGCACAUGGCUUACUUUUAAUUUGUCAGAAAUUACAGACUGAAGUUUAAGGAUGUAAAACUAGGAAUAUUAGAAUUUAAUUGUUGUUAUUAAAUAGUAUCUACCUUCUAAGAAAUAAAAGUUUGAGUCAAUUUUGUAUCCUAUUCA